UGCUCUCCAGCCUGGCCCGGCCGCGGGCCCAGAGCUCGCGGGGCACGAAGGUGGUGAUCGGGUCGGCGCCGACCGCCUCGGCGGCGGGCAG
Molecule: transfer RNA, 91 nt
Filed under: Kitasatospora indigofera
Lineage: Bacteria; Bacillati; Actinomycetota; Actinomycetes; Kitasatosporales; Streptomycetaceae
Description: tRNA-Leu
Source: RNAcentral